This is a long non-coding RNA of Mizuhopecten yessoensis (Yesso scallop), 226 nucleotides long. RefSeq lists it as uncharacterized. The record is from RefSeq and is a predicted model, not a curated record. The transcript has 2 exons. Lineage: Eukaryota; Metazoa; Mollusca; Bivalvia; Pectinida; Pectinidae.
AUUUAAUGUUGUAUUUUCUGUUUAAGUGCCAUGUGGAGACAACUAUCCCAAGUCGUACUGUGAGGACCAGAAACAGCAGGGCUUCUGUUCCCCUCGCAGUGCCUAUGCUACCUUCAUGUCCGACAACUGUUACGCUACUUGUAGGGGAGGAUGCUGAAGAGGUAACUAAGAAGAUUCCACAACAUUACAAUGUCAUAUACAGAAAAUACACCACUCCAAUGUUCAU